Molecule: non-coding RNA, 366 nt
Organism: Chlorocebus sabaeus (green monkey)
Lineage: Eukaryota; Metazoa; Chordata; Mammalia; Primates; Cercopithecidae
Source: RefSeq, a predicted model, not a curated record
UUCACCAGUCAAAGGCGCUUUUUCCGAAGAUGGCUGGGAGCUCCAGCCUUUGCUUGAGGGUCUUUGGUGUUGACUGAGCGAAUUAAAAGGUUCUCAGCCUUCGCUAAGGAACGCAUUCUGGAGUCUAGAACAGCCGAAGAUGGGACUGGGGUGUCUGGGGACUUAGACCUGAGCGAGCAGGGGAAUCCAGGGUGUGAGAUGAACUGUGUUAGAGAUUUUAUAUGCCGCUGUUGAAAGACAACAAGUGGUCGUGAGUGGAUAUUGUGACCAUGGAGACUUAUGGCAGUGCAAAGGCGGCCAUAAACAAUACAGAAGCAAUCCAGCGUGGCUGUGUUCAAUAAAACUUGAUGGAUUAUAAAAUUUGAA